AUGGUUCACCGUCUCCCCGCCCGCCGUCGUCUGGGUCGCGAACCGCGACCGCCCGCUCGACGCCCUGUCCUCCGGCGUAGUCACGCUCAGCGCCGGAGGAGACCUCGUGCUCCUCGACACCGCGAGGGACAACGAGACCGUCUGGUCGUCCAACUCCUCAGCCGCGGCGCCGGCUGCGGCCGCGCAGCUCCACGACAACGGCAACCUGGUGCUAGCGAGCGAGGCCGGCGCCGUGGCGUGCAGAGCUUCGAGCACCCCACCAACACGUUCAUCUCCGGGAUGCGGACCGGGAGGGACCUCCGGACCGGCGCCGCGUGGUCCCUCUCCUCGUGGCGCGACGCCGACGACCCGUCCGCCGGCGACUUCCGCUACGACAUGGACGCGGGCGGCUCGCCGGAGCUGCACAUCUGGAGGGAGGGGCGCAAGACGUACCGGACGGGGGCCUGGAACGGCGUGCGGUUCAGCGGCAUACCGGAGAUGACCAGCUUCGAGGACAUGUUCGAGUUCCGGUUCACCGACACCGCCGACGAGGUCUCCUACGGGUACCGCGACCGCGCCGGCUCGCCGCCGUCCCGCGUGGUGCUGAACGAGUCCGGCGUGAUGCAGCGCAUGGUCUGGGACCGCGCCACGGGCGCGUGGAACACCUUCUGGUCGGGGCCGAGGGACCAUUGCGACAGCUACGGCCUGUGCGGCGCGUUCGGCGUUUGCAACGUGGCGGACGCCAUCGUGUGCAGCUGCGUCCGGGGGUUCCGGCAGAGGUCGCCGGCGGAGUGGCGCAUGAGGGACGCGUCCGGCGGGUGCGCCCGAAGAACGCCGCUGCGGUGCGGCGGUGCGGGCGGCGACGGGUUCUACGCCCUGCGCGGUGUGAAGCUGCCGGAGACGCACGGCAGCAGCGUGGACGCCGGCGCCUCGGUCGAGGAGUGCGGGCGGAGGUGCCUGUCCAACUGUAAUUGCACGGCGUACGCGGCGUCGGACAUCCGUGGAGGCGGGGCCGGCACCGGGUGCAUACAGUGGUUCGGCGAGCUGAUGGACACGCGGUUCGUCGACGGCGGGCAGGAUCUCUUCGUCAGGCUGGCGUUGUCUGACCUAGAGAGAACCAAGACCAAGAAGUUCGCGGCGGUCAUCGCCGCGGUGACAGCGGGGUUUGCAUUGCUUGUGCUAUCGAUCGGCCUCCUGAUCUGGAGAAGGAUCCGGCGCGGCCAGGAAGCCACCAUGUUUGAAGACAUCUUGAGUGGCGAAUGUCCGACGUACCAUCUCGAAGUCAUUAGAGCCGCCACCGGUGGGUUCUGCCCCAAAAACGAGAUCGGCCGUGGUGGCUUCGGCAUUGUUUACAAGGGUGAAAUGCCAGACGGCCAGGAAGUUGCGGUGAAGAAACUGUCGACGGAGAACAGGGUGCAAGGACUGAGAGAGUUCAAGAACGAGGUGGACCUAAUCGCCAAGCUGCAGCACCGCAACCUCGUACGCCUGCUCGGCUGCUGCAUCCACUGCUCCGAGAGGAUACUGGUCUACGAGUACAUGACCAACAAGAGCUUGGACACAUUCAUUUUCGAUCCAAGGAGGCGCGCCACCUUGAGUUGGAAGAAAAGGAUGGACAUCAUCCUAGGCGUUGCUAGAGGGCUGCUCUACCUUCACCAGGACUCGAGGCACACGAUGAUCCACCGAGACCUCAAGGCAGCUAACGUUCUCCUUGACGGGGACAUGGUGGCCAAGAUAUCGGAUUUCGGAAUCGCCAAGCUAUUCAGCAGCAUCGGCGACAGUCAGGACUCGACCGUCACAGAAAGAAUUGUUGGAACAUAUGGCUACAUGUCACCGGAUAUGCCAUGGAUGGCUUGA
This 1833-nucleotide ribosomal RNA is filed under the name Triticum aestivum (bread wheat). RNAcentral's name for it is "partial small subunit ribosomal RNA". Lineage: Eukaryota; Viridiplantae; Streptophyta; Magnoliopsida; Poales; Poaceae. The record is from RNAcentral.